CCUUCGGGAACUCUGAGACAGGCGCUGCAUGUCUGUCGUCAGCUCGUGUGUGAAAUGUUGGGUUAAGUCCCGCAAGAGCGCAACCCUUAUCCUUUGUUGCCAGCGAUCCGGUCGGGAACUCAAAGGAGACUGCCAGUGAUAAACUGGAGGAAGGUGGGGAUGACGUCAAGUCAUCAUGGCCCUUACGAGUAGGGCUACACACGUGCUACAAUGGCAUAUACAAAGAGAAGCGACCUCGCGAGAGCAAGCGGACCUCAUAAANUAUGUCGUAGUCCGGAUCGGAGUCUGCAACUCGACUCCGUGAAGUCGGAAUCGCUAGUAAUCGUGGAUCAGAAUGCCACGGUGAAUACGUUCCCGGG
RNAcentral lists this ribosomal RNA (359 nucleotides) under Klebsiella sp. LGI-P5A. Its description in RNAcentral is "bacterial SSU rRNA". It matches the Rfam family "Bacterial small subunit ribosomal RNA", at positions 1017 to 1378 of the family's 1533-position model. The record is from RNAcentral. Lineage: Bacteria; Pseudomonadati; Pseudomonadota; Gammaproteobacteria; Enterobacterales; Enterobacteriaceae.